Molecule: small RNA, 9343 nt
Filed under: Pan troglodytes (chimpanzee)
Lineage: Eukaryota; Metazoa; Chordata; Mammalia; Primates; Hominidae
Description: retained intron
Source: RNAcentral
UAAGUAAUCAGCACAAAGGGGGUUAAUCUUAGGCCUGAGGUUUGGGGCUGGGUGACAAGGAAGUAAAACUCGUCCUCCCUGCCAGAUUCUACCCCCUUUCGGAGCUGAGCUCCAGCCAAACCUGUGGAGUUUUCUUUGACCAUUUUAGGACAUGUUACUGCUUCUGAGUUGGCUGCCCCGGCUGCUUAAACAAGACCUUUCUCCUGGGUUCCUAGUAGUGAAAAGGAGCAGCAGAGCAACUGAGGAGGAGGGCGGGUGGGAGGCAUGGGACUGGGGCUUGGGGAGGUGAGGCGAGACCGGGGCGAGAGCUCAGAGAAGCUCCUGUGACUUCCAUGCUAAGAUCUUGCCAGAGAACUCUGGUCAGUCCUCGGGUGUCUGGAUGAAGUAAAGGAGUUAGGCAUUUCUUCCUUUGAUUCUCUGGCUUACCUAAUAGAGUCAGAUGUGGUCUGCUGGGGAUGGACAGAGGGUCUGUAGAAGUCUCCUAGGCUUUAGUGACCCAUCCUCUGCCUCCGCCUCUAUGGUGGCCAGCAUGAACCAGGAUUGUUUGAAGGGGUUGUAUCCUCUAAGCCAGCGACCUGGUUUUAUGUUGAGCGAAGAGGCGGACGCCCUCCCUAGAGGAGAGUGCAGCUGGAUCAGGAUGCUUGUGCAGAGGAUGCCCUGUCUGCACAUUUACCAGCGUUUUCCCUACCCCCAGCUCCUUGGGGGAUUCUUUUUCCUGGAGUCAUUCACUACUUUUUGCAAAGGAAGUAUGCUAUGCUUAGUGCCCAAACCAAAACUGUCUUCACUUUUUCUGUCCUCCUAGAAAGUGAUCAAUCAAGAGCCAUGGCAGGAGAAGGAAUGGCCAGAGAAGGUUACUCAGAAGGGAGGAUGAGGGGUGGCUUCCCUCAGGUGAAGGUUUCACUGAGAAUAAUUGAGUUUUCUCCUCCUAACCACGUCCAGCACUUGCCCAGUUUCCCUCAAUGUGGAAUGAAACCCCUGGGCCAGUCACUGCAUUUCCCGUAAAAGGAAUGUUAUCUUGGAAAGGGCAUAAAGCAUCAGCCAAGUCAGAGAAGUUCAGAAACAUUUCCAGGAAUGCAGUUCAUUUGGAACCCCCUGGCUUUGCACUUGCGUGUCUUAGAGACAGUGUGCCUUCAACUUUACCUUCCAUCCAGGGCUAUUUCCUGUUGCAUCUGUCAAAUGAGGGCAGUGACUUAAAAGAGUAAUAUGGUCUUCCCAGCUUCGUCAUCCUCUGCUUCCCGCUGACCAGGGGACCUUGCCACGGAAUGUCUACCCUAGGCAUUGAGGCAUCUGGCAACUGCUUCCUUGUCACUAAAAAGUAAGAGAAAGAAGGACAGAUUGCCUGGGUGGAGAAGAGUGGGAGGUGGCCUAGUGGAGAAAGCAGGAUUAAGAGAAGGGAGGGAAAGAUUUAGGGAGUUUGGCUAAUGGAGCCCUUUACCUGUUGGAAGGGCAGCAAGCAAAAGUUUUACCAGAGUUUUCCCUACCCCCAGCUCCUUGGGGGAUUUUUUGUUUUGUUUCAUUUUUGUUUUUGUUUUUUUGCCUUGAGUAAUUUUCACAUGCGGAGUUAUUCACAACUUUUUGCAAAGUACUAUUUUCAUUGGCUUUUCAGAGCCAGUGAAGUUGCCUUCUCCUCCAACAUGACCACAUUUUCCUCUGAGCAGACAAAAACAGAACAAAUAAGUUUGCGGGCUUGCUUGGAGGUUGAAAGAAAUAAGUCCAGUUAAAAUGAGAGUUUAGCCCGGUGCCCUGGCUCAUGCCUGUAAUCCCAGCACUUUGGGAACUUUGGGAGGCGAAGGCAGGCAGAUAACCUGAGGUCAGGAGUUUGAGACCAGCCUGACCAACAUGGUGAUACCCCAUCUCCACUAAAAAUACAAAAUUAGCCAGGUGUGGUGGCUCAUGCCUGUAGUCCCAGCUACCUGGGAGGCUGAGGCAGGAGAACCCGGGAGGCAGAGGUUGCAGUGAGCUGAGAUCGCACCAUUGCACUCCAGCCUGGGCAAGAAGAGGGAAACUCCAUCUCAAAAAAAAAAAAAAAAAAAAAAAAAAAAUGAGAGUUGAGCAGCUCAGUCCCAGGAAGUCAAGAAACCCCUUCUACAGCCAAGUUAUGGUUGUUUUCCACCAGGACCUGGUUGAUUCAGUGUCUGGGGGCUGGAAAGUGAGGUUUUUAUAAAGCAGAGGGAGCUGAACAUCCCUGAGAUAGAAGAGGAGGCUAAAUACCUCUAAGACUCUAGAGUAGCAUUGUCCCAAAGAAUUUUCUGCAAUGAUGGAACUGUUCUAUGUCCAUGCUGCUCAGUUCAGUGGUCACUAGUCAUAUGAGUCUAUUGAACAUUUAAAACAUGACCAGUUGGCCGGGCAUGGUGGCUCACACCUGUAAUCCCUUUGGGAAGCUGAGGCAGGAGCAUUGUUUACGCUCAUGAGUUCAAGACCAGCCUGAACAACAUAGUGAGACCCUAUUUCUACAAAAAAUAAAAUUAGCCAGGUGUGGUGGUGCAUGCCUCCUGGGAGGCUGAGACAGGAGGAUUGCUUGAGCCCAGGAUGCCAAGGCUGCAGUAAGCCAUGGUUGCACUACUGCACUCUCCAUCCUGGGUGACAGAGCGAGACCUUGUCUCAAAAAUAAUAAUAGGCUAGGCGUGGUAGCUCAUACCCAGCCUAUAAUCCCAGCACUUUGGGAGGCCAAGGGCAGGGGCGGAUCACUUGAGGUCAGGAGUUCAAGACCAGCCUGGCCAACAUGGUGAAACCUCGACUCUACUAAAAAAAAAAAAAUAUAUGAUACAAAAAUUGGCUGGGCACGGUGGCUCACGCCUGUAAUCCCAGCACUUUGGGAGGCUGAGGCGGGUGGAUCACAAGGUCAGGAGAUCGAGACCAUCCUGGCUAACACGGUGAAACCCCAUCUCUACUAAAAAUACAAAAAAAUUAGCCAGGCGUGGUGGUGGGUGCCUGUAGUCCCAGCUACUCAGGAGGCUGAGGCAGGAGAAUGGCGUGAACCAGGGAGGCGGAGCUUGCAGUGAGCCAAGAUCGUGCCACUGCACUCCAGCCUGGACAACAGAGCGAGACUCCAUCUCAAAAAAAAAAAAAAAAAAGUAUAUAUAUAUAUAUAUAUAUACACACACACACACAAAUUAGCCAGGCAUGGUGGCACGUGCCUGUAGUCCCAGCUAUUCAAGAGGUUGAGGCAGGGAAAUUGCUUGAACCUGGGAGGCAGAGGUUGCAGUGAGCCAAGAUUGCACCAUUGCACUCCAGCCUGGAUGACAGAGCAAGACUCCAUCUCAAAUAAUAAUAAUAAGGCUAGUAUGACUAAGGAGCUACAUUUUAAUUUUAUUAUACUUCAUUUUAAUUUAGAUAGCCAUGUGUGGCUAAGGGCUACCAUAUUGAGAAGUGCUGCUAAAGAGCAAGACUGAUUUUUCUCUCUCCCCGCUGACAGGAGGUUAUGAGGGAGAGGGGAUUGGGGCCUCUUGGGGUUUUUAGAUCUGACGCUGGUCUGAAAUCUCUACCUGAGGGUAGGAGGGAGAGUGGGGCUCUGGAGGAGUGUGUUAUUCACACUCAGAGAGUCUGUGAUUGGAAGGUGCCUGAACACCCACUUGCACCUCUCCUUUUGUUGUUGUUUGCAGUCUUGAGGAUACUGGCUAAGCCUCUGCCUACGCAGUGAGUCCUGUUCCUUCUCCUCUCCAGGUCUUCCCUCUUUAACCAACAUUUCCCUCUCUGCUGAUUCUUCCUUUCUGCCUUCAAAUGCAAGUCCCUGCUACCUCCAACCAGGAAACUUUUCAAAUGAAUGAACUGAAGCAAUUUCUCCCCUUUGUCACAUGCUCCCUCUGCCACAGAAGACUUGCUUUCUUACUCAUAGUGCCCCUUUCCUGACCGGUUCAGGGCUGGUUCAGAGUUCAUCCUUUUUAACGUUCUUGUCACUCUGACCCUAUUAAUGAGGUCUUUGUUGCACCGUCUCUCCUCCUGUAGCUUCUGUGGCCUUCUUGGCUCCAUAGCCCUCCUCUGCCUUCUCUGCCUGAGGUGCUUGUUUCAUACUCCUGAACUGUGAGUGUCUUCUAAGGCUUGUUUCCUGACUUUUUCCUCACUCCACAUCAUCCUCCUUGACAGUACAGCUAUGUAUGUGACCUUAGCUACCACCUCUCCACAAAUGAGUCCUCGACCUGAAUCUCUUAUUCUGAUCCUUCACCAGUGGAAAGGAUAGAAACUAGAGCAUAGCUUCCAUAAGAUUAUGGGCAAAUAGUCCAGGCACGGUGGCUCACGCCUGUAAUCACAGCACUUUGGGAGGCCGAAGUGGGCAGAUCACGAGGUCAGGAGAUCGAGACCAUCCUGGCCAACAUGGUGAAACCCCGUCUCUACUAAAAAUAGAAAAAAAUCAGCUGGGCGUGGUGGCGGGCUCCUGUAGUCCCAGCUACUCGGGAGGCUGAGGCAGGAGAAUUGCUUGAACCUGGGAGGUGGAGGUUGCAGUGAGCAGAGAUCAUGCCACUGCACUGCAGCCUGGUGACCGAGCAAGACUCCGUCUCAAAAAAAAAAAGAAAAGAAAAGAAAAGAAAAGAAAAAGAUUAUGGGCAAAUAGAACCCUGGCAUCUUCUGGGACAGAAAGUGACUGUUGAAAAACAUUCCAAUUUACCAAAGGCCAAAUAAUAAGAUGCUUUUUAUGUGCCAAUCACUGUUCGCAGCGUUAGCUCAUUUAAUGCAUUAACUCAUUUAGUUCUGGUAGAGAGAGUUCUAGUGUACUCAUUUGCACUGCCACCCAAGUCCGCAUCCACACCAAGAAGUAAAUGGAUGUAGCAUGCCACUGCAUACACUGCGAACGCAGACAAGCACUCCUUUUGGGAUUCUUUUCCUUUUGGGAUUCUAUUCUGUUCCAUAACAUGUCAUUUCUCUCCUGUAAGCCCCUUCUCUGCCACAUCAAUGCUGUCCUCUAACUAUGCCAUAAAUAUUUUCCAUCAUCUUUCUGUUCCUAAAUCACUGUGUGCUGUUGAUAUUCCACCAAUACAGUACACUUAACAUGUACAAAAUUUUAGAUUUCACUAUCACCUCUCAAAAGCUGGCUUGCUUUCUAAGAUUUUCCCAUUUAUGUCAGUGCCAUCACCAUUUCCUAGGCCCCCAAACUUGAAACUCACGAGUUUUUCAUCCCUCUAAUAUCCCUCGCCUCUUCCCAGGUCUUCCCCAGCCCUUUCCCUUGCAAUUUAAUCUUUUUGUUGUUUUCUGUGAAAUAUCUCUCAAUCGACUUAUUCAUUCUACAAAUAUUCGAGGCCUACUUCAUCCCAGGCACUGUAUUAGUUCUAGAGACUCGGGGAUAAGACACUAUUCCUGCCUUCAACGAGCUCACAACCUGGUAGGGAAGACAGUGAGGUUUACAGGCAUAGUGCAGUGUUAUAGGCACUGCAACAGGGACAACACAGGUGCUUUGAGAGCACAGCAGAGAGAUGUCUCCUGCCACUAAGGAAGAAAGGGAAGGUUUCUCAAAGAAACUGGUGGCCAGGCACAGUGGCUCAUGCCUCUAAUCCCAGCACUUUGGGAGGCUGGAGCAGGCAGAUUGCUUGAGCUCAUGAGUUCGAGACCAGCCUCACCAACGUGGCAAAACCUUGUCUCUACAAAAAAAUACAGAAAUUAGCUGGGCAUGGUGGUGCACACUUACAGUUCCCAGCUACUAGGGAGGCUGAGUUGGGAAGAUGGCUUGAGCCUGGGAGGCGGAGGUUGCAGUGAGGUGAGAUCAUGCCACUGCACUCCAGUCUGGCGACAAAGAAAGACUCUGUCUCAAAAAAAAAAAAAAAAGAAAGAAAAGGCCGGGCACGGUGGCUCAUGCCUGUAAUCCCAGCACGUUGGGAGGCCAAGGCGGGUGGAUCACAAGGUCAGAAGUUCAAGACCAGCCUGACCAACAUGGUGAAACCCCAUCUCUACUAAAAAUACAAAAAUUAGCUGGGUAUGGUGGCACAUGCCUGUAAUCCCAGCUACUUGGGAGGUGGGAGGCUGAGGCAAGAGAAUCGCUGGAACCCAGGAGGCGGAGGUGGCAGUGAGCCGAGAUCGUGCCACUGCACUCCAGCCUGGGCAACAGAGCAAGACUUUGUCUCAAAAAAAAAAAAAGAAAAAAAAACUGUGAUGUAAUUAUUUUGUAAAUGUGGAGGGGAUGACAACUGGGGAAAAGGUGUGGGCAUGAUUUGUUAGAUUCUCAUCUGCCAUAAAUGAAAGUCAAUGCAUAAUGUCUCAAAUUGAUAAGCCAUGAAAUAUCCAUAACGCUUACUGUUUAGAAACACGAAAGUAGAUCCCAGAAGAAAACAAUUAAAAACAAUAAAAAAAAGUUUGCUUCUGGGGAGUAGAUCUCAAAGGUGGUAGGGAAUUAUUUUUUUCAUUAUAAGCACUCUAGCACCAACUUACAUUUAAAUUCAUGCAUACUAUUUUAAUAGAAAAAAAUGUCAAGGACAAUUGGGAAGGUAAGAAGUAGCCAUCGUGAAUCUAAACAGCUUUCUCAAGAAUUUUGACAAUAAAGGAAAAGAAAUAAUAUCUGAUACAUAUGUAGCCUUAACAUUAGCUAGGUACCAUUCUGAACGCUUUAGGUAUAUUAACUGUUUAAUCCUCGUCUCAAACCUAUGAAGCAGGUACUGUUACUGGCCCCAUUUUACAGAUGAGGAAACAGUUCUCACAGCUAGUAAGUGGCAGAGCUGGGAUUAGAACCCAAGCUUAGUGGCUCCAGAGCCCAUGCUCUUAACGCUGGUAGGUGGCAGGAAGUGAAGAAUUGAGAAAGGGUUUAUUUGUUUUUGUUUUUCAUUUGUAGUAGGAAAGGUGCUAGCAAAAAGGUCCAGCCAAGAAGAUGGAUAAUCAGGCUGAGCCAUUGUUUGACUUUUGCCAAGUAUUGCUGUGAAAGGACAAGAAAGUGAAGGGAGCUUGAGAAUGUAAACACACAUGUUGGAUGAGCCAUGGAAUCUCAGCCAGUUAGGAGAAAGGAGCUUGAGGGGUUGUGGGAAAAUGAGGGGGUCAAGAAGAGAGUGGGGAAAGUGGAAGGAGAGAGGUUGUUUUCAAAGAAAUGGGACAUUGGCUUUGAAGAGGUGACAGAUGGAAUUAUAGAAAAUGAGGCUGGGUGUGGUGGCUCGUGCCUGUAAUCCCAGCACUUUGGGAGGCCAAGGCAGGCAGGUGGAUCACCUGAGGUCAGGAGUUCGAGACCAGCCUGGCCAACACGGUGAAACCCCGUCUCUACUAAAACUACAAAAAUUAGCUGGGUGUGGUGGCACGCGCCUGUAAUCCCAGCUACUUGGGAGGCUGAGGCAGGAGAAUUGCUUGAACCCAGGAGGUAGAGGUGGCAGUGAGCCAAGCAUCUAGCGGCUGCACUCCAGCCUGGGUGACAGAGCUAGACUCCGUCUCAAACAAACAAACACCCCUGUCCUUGCUCAGUCAUCUAUAAUAGCUCUUAGUUGCUUAUUUAAAACAAAAAUCUUUAAAGCCCAUCCCACCCUAGGUUACCCAGCCCCUACUUUCAGUGCCUCUCUGAGCUACUGUGUCUGUAAAAUCAAGGUAUUGUACUCUGCCUUGCAUAUUGGAAUAAUUUUUUUUUUUUGAGACAGGCUCUCACUCUAUUGCCCAGGCUAGAGUGCAGAGGCACAGUCAUGGUUCACUGCAGCCUCAACCUCCUGGGCUCAAGCCAUCCUCCCACCCUCAACCUCCUGAGUAGCUGGGACCACAGGUACUUACCACUAUAUCCAGCUAAUUUUUUAUUUUUUUGUAAAGAUGAUGUCUCCCAGGCUGAAGUUAUCCUCCACCAUGCCUGGAGUGAGCCACCAUGCCUGGCCUGGAAUAAAUUAAUGGAAGAAAGGGUGCUUUAAAAAGAAUUGUAUUCGGCCGGGUGCAGUGGCUCACGCCUGUAAUCCCAGCACUUUCGGAGGCUGAGGCGGGUGGAUCAUAAGGUCAAGAGAUUGAGACCAUCCUGGCCAACAUGGUGAAACCCCAUCUCUACUAAAAAUACAAAAAUUAGGUGGCCAUGGUGGCGUGCACCUGUAGUCCUAGCUACUUGGGAAGCUGAGGCAGGAGAAUCACUUGAACCCAGAAGGCAGAGGUUGCAGUGAGCCAAGAUCAUGCCACUGCACUCCAGCCUGGCAACAGAGAGAGACUCUGUCUCAAAAAAAAAAAAAAAAAAAGAAUCGUUCUCAUUACAGCCUAAUUUCUUAAUAGUCCCCAGUUGAGUCUUCCUCUUCAGUAGUUUUUUGUUUUUGUUUUUGUUUUAAUAAUUGUAGAUUUACAGGAGGUUUCAAAGAAAUGUACAAGAGAAGUCCCGUGCACCCUUCUUCCAGUCUUAAUGUUUCACACAAUUAAAGUAUAAUAUCAAAACCAAGAAAUUGACAUUGGUACAAUCCAUAGAGCUUAUUUGGAGUUCACCAGAUACACAUGCUGUCAAUAUUUGUAUAUGUGCAUGUGUAUGCAAUUGUAUCACAUGUAGCCUUGCAUAACUACCACCACAACCAAGAUCCAGAACAAUUCCAUUAUCACAAGACUCCUUUGUGUUACCCCUUUCUGGCCACACCCAUCCCCUCCCCUGUCCCUGGCCCCUGACACCCAUUUAUCUGUUAUCUAUCACUGCAGGUACUUCAAUUAACAUCACCUAAAUGGAAUUGUGUACUACGCAUCCUUUUUCUUUUUUUUUUUUUUCUUUGAGACAGGGUCUUGUUCUGUUGCCCAGGCUGGAGUGUGGUGGCAUGAGCAUGGCUCACUGCAAUCUCCACCUCCCAGGCUCAAGCGAUCCUCCCACCUCACCCUCCCUGGUAGUGGGACCACAGGUGCACACCACCACACCUGGCUAUAUGCUUCUUUUGAGAUUGCUUUUUUCACUCACAUAAUUUGCUUGAAAUUUAUCCACCAGCAUUUUUUAAAAAUUAACUGUGCAUCGUCUUCAGUGAGAUGUGUGCAUUUCGUCUUUGUUCAUGCCUUUUCCACUGCCUAGAAUGCCCCCUACCAACCCUGUCUACCGAUCUGUAUUCAUUUCCUUCAGUGUGUCUCACUGCUGUGUGCCUAAACCCAUCUGACUUAUUUCUCUUCCUUUAUCAAUUAUGUAUAUUUCCCAUACCAUAUCAUUUUCCACUUGCAGGUAGGAGACAGGGACCACGCCCAUCUUAUCUUUAUAUUCCCAGCAUCUAGUACAGUGCCUGAAAUGGAGGAGGUACCCAGUAAAUAAUGUUUUGGAUGAAUGAAUGAUUGAAGUUGCUCUGCUGGAUUCUUAUAUUGUGUCUUGGGCAUGUGUUGUCUUCCCAACUGCACUCAAAGCUACGUUGUAAACUUGAGAGCAGCAGCUCCAUUCCAUUUACUAGUAUAGGCGAGGCCCUGCACCUCACAUACACGUUCUCUAAUCCUUCUAAGAACCCCCUAGAUUAGACUUUGUAAC